Molecule: long non-coding RNA, 987 nt
Organism: Daktulosphaira vitifoliae (grape phylloxera)
Lineage: Eukaryota; Metazoa; Arthropoda; Insecta; Hemiptera; Phylloxeridae
Exons: 4
Source: RefSeq, a predicted model, not a curated record
CUGUGCAAUAUAUUGACUUUAAUAAUAUCAUGUACACUAUUUCAACAAAUUCUAUUUUUAGCUGUGGAAUACUAUCUGCUCGUUAUCAUUGUGAAUUUGCACUUUUUCUACAUGGAGAAAUAAAUCUGUAUUGUAGCAGAACUGUUAUUUUUUUUACUUUUAUAUUAAUUUGUUGAUAAAAUAACGAAUUCAAAAUUAUUUUUUAUAUUUAAUGAAAAAUCCUGAAACAGCGGUGACUCUAAUGAAGUAAGAAAUAAUUAAAAACCAUAUUACAUAAUCUACAAGCAACUCGGAAUUUGAUUUAGGUGAUUUACAGUCUGGUCCAAAAAGAUCCAUAUUAGAGUUAUGUGGAUCUAGAGGUCUUAAAAAUGGAAAACUAACAAAGCAUGAUACUCAUUCUAGUACAAAAAGUCAUUUAACUUGUAAAUAACUGUUAAAAAUCUGACACUGUUCAUACCCAGCUAAUAACUUAAUCUAAACUAGAAGUUGUCGCUAAUAGGAAAUUUAUGAAAAGUAUAAUUAACAUAAUAAUUUUUUGAGUAUGCAAAUGGCCCGACACAAUAAAAAUAAUUCAUCAUUAAAUCAACGUUGGGAACUAAUUUAAGUAAUCUAAUCACCUAAUAAUAACAUAUGCCUAAGUUUUUUGAAAUAUUCAACAAAGAAACAAAUCACAUGAGUCAUCAUAUUCAAAAUUAAAUAAUUGAAAUAUGUGCAAACAGAAUAAGAGAUUCAAUUAUAGAAGACAUUAGUACACAGACUUUUUGAUGAAGCAAGAUGUUAUAAAGAAGAACAAAUGUUUUAUAUUAUUUUAAAACUUGUAAAUUAAAUACUAAAGCUCAAAUAAUUUCACAAUACUAUGUUUAUGUUAACAUCAUGUCUGCUACUUUAAUGAAGUCAAUCAAAAAUUAGAAUUAAAUUUUCAAAAGCGAUUUUUACUCAUUGUAUGUUCAUAGAAUAAAUCUUUUGGUUGCAGAUAUUUGAAAAAAU